RNAcentral lists this ribosomal RNA (253 nucleotides) under uncultured bacterium. RNAcentral's name for it is "partial 16S ribosomal RNA". It matches the Rfam family "Bacterial small subunit ribosomal RNA", at positions 524 to 776 of the family's 1533-position model. The record is from RNAcentral.
GACGAACCGUGCGAACGUUGUUCGGAUUCACUGGGCUUAAAGGGCGCGUAGGCGGAUUCGCAAGUCCGAGGUGAAAUACUUCAGCUUAACUGGAGAACUGCCCCGGAUCCUGCGAGUCUCGAGGGAGGUAGGGGCAUGCGGAACUUCCGGUGGAGCGGUGAAAUGCGUAGAUAUCGGAAGGAACGCCGGUGGCGAAAGCGGCGUGCUGGACCUCUUCUGACGCUGAGGCGCGAAAGCCAGGGGAGCAAACGGG